Molecule: long non-coding RNA, 2029 nt
Filed under: Mytilus galloprovincialis (Mediterranean mussel)
Lineage: Eukaryota; Metazoa; Mollusca; Bivalvia; Mytilida; Mytilidae
Source: RNAcentral
CUUUAUGAAAAUGUUCUCCAGUAUGCCAAGAUGUCAAGACAAUAUUUGGAUAGUUCAAAAUGGCCGCCGUUGUCAUGGAAACUGGGGCCAAGUUUUGCAUUGACCCUAUGGAAAAAUGCAUAAAAUCAGCAUUUUCUCAGAGAGUAGUGCACCAAAGUAAAUGAAACUGUAUUGAUAUAUAACAUGACAUGUGGCAAUGAGAUGUACGCUUUUAGAAUUUUGGAAUUAUCUACUGUAACCAUGGUUGCAGCACAAAUGUUCAAAAUUUCCAAAAAAAAAUUAAGUGCUGCAAACUGGAUGAAACUUUACAGGAAUAGUGACUGACAUGUGCGGAGUUGCAUUUUGAAGUUGGAAUUUCCAAAAUGGCCGCCGUAACCAUGGAAACAGCAAAAAUUAUCAAAAAUUUCAAAAUGCUUCAAACUUAAUGAAAUUUUGCAAAAAUGAUGACUUGCAUGUGUAGAUGCACUCUUUGACUUUGAAAUUUUCAAAAUGGCUGCCGCUCGCCUGGCAAUGGGGGGACGAGGGUGCCAUCCGUUAUUGCUAGCAAUUACAAAUCUAGUUAUUUUUAUUAUUCUUCCACACAUUUUGUCCAUCGUGUUUCUAAGAAUUGAGUGACCAAUAUUGUUGGAACUAUAACAUAAUGAGGACCCCCAUUUGAAGUUGUGCACCUUGCUAUGGAAUGGUAAAAGAUGGCCGCCGUUUCCAUGGAAACAGCACAAAUGCGAAAAAAAUCAAAGUGGUCCAAACUGGAAGAAACUCCACAGGAAUGUUAACUGGCAUGUGCUGAUUUCCAGUUUGACUUUGGAAUUUUCAAAAUGGCUGCCGUUACCAUGGAAACAGCUAAAAUAUCAAAAAUUCUAACUCUUUCGUUAUAACAUCCAACUGGAUGAAACUUUAUGAAAAUGUUCUCCAGUAUGCCAAGAUGUCAAGACAAUAUUUGGAUAGUUCAAAAUGGCCGCCGUUGUCAUGGAAACUGGGGCCAAGUUUUGCAUUGACCCUAUGGAAAAAUGCAUAAAAUCAGCAUUUUCUCAGAGAGUAGUGCACCAAAGUCAAUGAAACUGUAUUGAUAUAUAACAUGACAUGUGGCAAUGAGAUGUACGCUUUUAGAAUUUUGGAAUUAUCUACUGUAACCAUGGUUGCAGCACAAAUGUUCAAAAUUUCCAAAAAAAUAAAAGUGCUGCAAACUGGAUGAAACUUUACAGGAAUAGUGACUGACAUGUGCGGAGUUGCAUUUUGAAGUUGGAAUUUCCAAAAUGGCCGCCGUAACCAUGGAAACAGCAAAAUUGUCCAAAAUUUCAAAAUGCUCCAAACUUAAUGAAAUUUUACAAAAAUGAUGACUUGCAUGUGUAGAUGCACUCUUUGACUUUGGAAUUUUCAAAAUGGCUGCCGCUCGCCUGGCAAUGGGGGACGAGGGUGCCAUCCGUUAUUGCUAGCAAUUACAAAUCUAGUUCUUAUUAUUCUUAUUCCGCACUUUUUGUCCAGCUUAGUUCUUGGAACUGAAUGGACCAAUGUUGAUGGAACUAUAACAUAAUGUUAAUCACCAUGUGUAGUUUUGCAUCUGACUUUGGAAUUAAAAAAAUGGCUGCCAUUGCCAUGGAAACAGCAAAAAUGUGAAAAAUAGAAAUGUGUUCCAAUUUAUAUGAAACUUCUAUGAUAUUAAGAGACUCAUGCACACUUCAACAUGGUACAUUUUUUUUUCAAUUGGGGGGUCUCUAGACAUAAUUUGAGGGGGGUGAAUUUUUCAUGGAACAUUCCACAUUGUUCCAGAACAUAACUGUUAAUUUAUUCUUGAGACAUUAAAUGGUAUAUGAUGGUAUAUAAUUAUGGAGAGAACAAUUUGCAGCAGAAGUUAGACUUUGGAAUUUUCAAAAUGGCCGCCGUUACUAUGGAAACAGCAAAAAUAUGAAAAACUCAAAAAUGCUUCAAAUUUAAUGAAACUUAAAACAAAUGUUGCCUAGCUAAUGUAGACUUGAGUUUUGAGUUUGGAAUUUUCAAAAUGGCUGCCGUUGCCAUGGAAACGGCACAAUUG